AAUAAAAAAGCCGGAGUAGCUCA
This 23-nucleotide transfer RNA is filed under the name Crossidium davidai. RNAcentral describes it as "partial tRNA-Phe". Lineage: Eukaryota; Viridiplantae; Streptophyta; Bryopsida; Pottiales; Pottiaceae. The record is from RNAcentral.